AGUGAACGCUGGCGGUAGGCCUAACACAUGCAAGUCGAACGGCAGCACAGUAAGAGCUUGCUCUUACGGGUGGCGAGUGGCGGACGGGUGAGGAAUACAUCGGAAUCUACUUUUUCGUGGGGGAUAACGUAGGGAAACUUACGCUAAUACCGCAUACGACCUACGGGUGAAAGCAGGGGAUCUUCGGACCUUGCGCGAUUGAAAGAGCCGAUGUCGGAUUAGCUAGUUGGCGGGGUAAAGGCCCACCAAGGCGACGAUCCGUAGCUGGUCUGAGAGGAUGAUCAGCCACACUGGAACUGUGACACGGUCCAGACUCCUACGGGAGGCAGCAGUGGGGAAUAUUGGACAAUGGGCGCAAGCCUGAUCCAGCCAUACCGCGUGGGUGAAGAAGGCCUUCGGGUUGUAAAGCCCUUUUGUUGGGAAAGAAAAGCAGCAGGUUAAUACCCCGCUGUUCUGACGGUACCCAAAGAAUAAGCACCGGCUAACUUCGUG
RNAcentral lists this ribosomal RNA (492 nucleotides) under uncultured bacterium. RNAcentral describes it as "partial 16S ribosomal RNA". It matches the Rfam family "Bacterial small subunit ribosomal RNA", at positions 29 to 507 of the family's 1533-position model. The record is from RNAcentral.